This 406-nucleotide ribosomal RNA is filed under the name uncultured bacterium. Its description in RNAcentral is "partial 16S ribosomal RNA". It matches the Rfam family "Bacterial small subunit ribosomal RNA", at positions 30 to 526 of the family's 1533-position model. The record is from RNAcentral.
AUUGAACGCUGGCGGCAUGCCUAACACAUGCAAGUCGAACGAGUGGCGGACGGGUGAGUAAUGUCUGGGCACAGGCCUGAUGGAGGGGUAUAACUACUGGAAACGGUAGCUAAUACCGCAUACCAUCGGAUGUGCCCAGAUAGGAUUAGCUAGUAGGUGGGGUAACGGCUCACCCAGGCGACGAGCCCUAGCUGGUUUGAGAGGAUGACCAGCCACACUGGAACUGAGACACGGGCCAGACGCCUACGGGAGGCAGCAGUGGGGAAUUUUGCACAAUGGGCGAAAGCCUGAUGCAGCCAUGCCGCGUGUAUGAAGAAGGCAUUCGGGUUGUAAAGUACUUUCAGCAGAAAGGCGUUACCCGCAGAAUAAGCACCGGCUAACUCCGUGCCAGCAGCCGCGGUAAUAC